GACUGUUGGACACUUCCUCAGAUCGUCUUGGUAAACAUGCAGAAGAAUGCUUCCAGAGAUGGCCAAACCGCUGUAGUGUUAGCAUGAAGAGAAGAGAGAAUGGUGGUGGUGCUACACAAGCCACAGUGCUGCACCAUUUUUGUGGGAGAUGCUGAGGCAGGAAAAGUGGGGACAGUAAGCACGGGGGACAUCUUGUGCAUACUGGACAGUGUAAGCCACUUCUUGACUUUUGCCUGCUGUGAAAAUACGUUUCCAACACUGAAAUAUUACACUUCUGAGAGAACGGUGACUUUUGUUUGCGGCUGCAAGAAAAAAAGUGCCCUUUGUUUGCAGCCUGUCAAUAGAAUGACCUUUCCCUCUUGCCAAUUUAUGCUCAAGAAAUACACAUGUGAUUGUUUUCCCUUUGCUGAAUGUUUCAAGAAUCUUCCAAAUUUGUUUGAUCAAUGGUUCAGAAGCUUUCAAACUGACA
Molecule: long non-coding RNA, 469 nt
Filed under: Apteryx owenii (little spotted kiwi)
Lineage: Eukaryota; Metazoa; Chordata; Aves; Apterygiformes; Apterygidae
Description: lncRNA (ENSAOWG00000006096.1)
Source: RNAcentral